AGUGAACGCUGGCGGUAGGCCUAACACAUGCAAGUCGAACGGCAGCACAGUAAGAGCUUGCUCUUACGGGUGGCGAGUGGCGGACGGGUGAGGAAUACAUCGGAAUCUACUUUUUCGUGGGGGAUAACGUAGGGAAACUUACGCUAAUACCGCAUACGACCUACGGGUGAAAGCAGGGGAUCUUCGGACCUUGCGCGAUUGAAUGAGCCGAUGUCGGAUUAGCUAGUUGGCGGGGUAAAGGCCCACCAAGGCGACGAUCCGUAGCUGGUCUGAGAGAAUGAUCAGCCACACUGGAACUGAGACACGGUCCAGACUCCUACGGGAGGCAGCAGUGGGGAAUAUUGGACAAUGGGCGCAAGCCUGAUCCAGCCAUACCGCGUGGGUGAAGAAGGCCUUCGGGUUGUAAAGCCCUUUUGUUGGGAAAGAAAAGCAGCAGGUUAAUACCCCGCUGCUCUGACGGUACCCAAAGAAUAAGCACCGGCUAACUUCGUG
RNAcentral lists this ribosomal RNA (492 nucleotides) under uncultured bacterium. Its description in RNAcentral is "partial 16S ribosomal RNA". It matches the Rfam family "Bacterial small subunit ribosomal RNA", at positions 29 to 507 of the family's 1533-position model. The record is from RNAcentral.